This 171-nucleotide ribosomal RNA is filed under the name Mugil cephalus (flathead mullet). Its description in RNAcentral is "partial 12S ribosomal RNA". Lineage: Eukaryota; Metazoa; Chordata; Actinopteri; Mugiliformes; Mugilidae. The record is from RNAcentral.
CACCGCGGUUAUACGAAAGACCCAAGCUGAUAGAUGCCGGCGUAAAGAGUGGUUAAGUAUCUUGAUAGAACUAAAGCCGAACGCCCUCAAGACCGUUAUACGUUUCCGAAGGUAUGAAGCCCAACCACGAAAGUAACUUUAAUUAUAUCCGACUCCACGAAAGCUGUGAAA